GAUGAACGCUGGCGGCGUGCCUAAUACAUGCAAGUCGAGCGAACGGACGAGAAGCUUGCUUCUCUGACGUUAGCGGCGGACGGGUGAGUAACACGUGGAUAACCUACCUAUAAGACUGGGAUAACUUCGGGAAACCGGAGCUAAUACCGGAUAAUAUUUUGAACCGCAUGGUUCAAUAGUGAAAGACGGUUCUGCUGUCACUUAUAGAUGGAUCCGCGCUGCAUUAGCUAGUUGGUAAGGUAACGGCUUACCAAGGCAACGAUGCAUAGCCGACCUGAGAGGGUGAUCGGCCACACUGGAACUGAGACACGGUCCAGACUCCUACGGGAGGCAGCAGUAGGGAAUCUUCCGCAAUGGGCGAAAGCCUGACGGAGCAACGCCGCGUGAGUGAUGAAGGUCUUCGGAUCGUAAAACUCUGUUAUUAGGGAAGAACAAAUGUGUAAGUAACUGUGCACAUCUUGACGGUACCUAAUCAGAAAGCCACGGCUAACUACGUG
This 497-nucleotide ribosomal RNA is filed under the name uncultured bacterium. RNAcentral's name for it is "partial 16S ribosomal RNA". It matches the Rfam family "Bacterial small subunit ribosomal RNA", at positions 28 to 507 of the family's 1533-position model. The record is from RNAcentral.